Molecule: long non-coding RNA, 1192 nt
Filed under: Bemisia tabaci
Lineage: Eukaryota; Metazoa; Arthropoda; Insecta; Hemiptera; Aleyrodidae
Description: lncRNA ENSSWEETPG008338
Source: RNAcentral
UAAUAAAAUAACUAAAAAAAAGAAAAGAAAAAAAAAAUACUAAGAAAUGGUCGAACUGUAUGUAACAAGGUGGAGAAAUGGUGCUGGGCCCACACUAUGUUGCGGGAAAAACAAAACCAAGAAGUUCCAAAAAUUAUAAUUAGAGUCAAAAUUAAAUUUUUUGAACUCUAGUGUUCUAAUAUUCCGAUACUUUGAACUCUAAUAUUCCGAAGCAAACUGCCUGAGCUGAACACUCUCCCCCCUCAGUUUCUUACUAGUGCGCAUUAGAGUUCAAAAUAUUUAAUUUUGAAUCUAAUUAUAAUUUUUGGAACUUCUUGGCCUUGUUUUCUCCGCGAAAUGGUGUGGACCCAGCACCAUUUUUCCACCUUGUUAAUGUAACUAACCAACUAAAAUACAUGCAUGUUUAACUUAAACAGACUUUCAACACAGAUGUCGUGAUUUUUGAACCAUUUUGCAAAUAUCAUGCCCUGAUCAUUUUCAAUUUAAAUGCAAGCAGUAAUUCUGAUUCCACUUUAAUCUUUAGGUAGUGACUGCCACGCUAUUGCAGCGCAUUUAAUUACGACCCCAAGAGGCAGUCGCUUGCUCUCGAAUGGUUGAAAGAGGCGUACGCGAGGUUUCAUGAAAAAAAUGAAACGGAGCGUUACAAGAAAUCACUCCUGCUGGAUCUAGCAUUACUCUCUCUGAAACAGGUCACACCAGAGAGGCGGUCGACUUUGCUGAAAAUUUCACGAGAACAAAUAUGGAAAACGAAUAUAUCUACGUCGAUAUGCACAGAUAUCUUACAGCUAGACUCGAAAAUCGGCCAGUGAGGACUUAAAGGAGUACACAACUCCCGAUGAUACCACUCUUGACCUUCCUCUUUUCCCCGAUAUCCGCCGUUGGCUUUUGGCUGAUGUUUGCAAGGGGAAUUCAAGGCUGCCCCCGAGCUAUUUGGCCAAGUUGAAAUGCCGCUACACAAUGAACGACUCACCUUUAUUCGUUUUGUCACCGCUGAAGGAGGAAGAGCUCUACUUGGACCCCAAAGUGUCCAUCUACCGCAAAUUUUUAACCGACGGCGAGGUUGACAGCCUGAUAGACUCAGCAUAUGGCCGAGUAAGUUUAUUAAACAAACUCUUAAAAUAAAACAAGAAGAUAUUCCAUCAACUUUUUAAAAUACUCAAACUACUCUAAAAUUAGGACACUAUUUUCUUCU